Molecule: transfer RNA, 73 nt
Filed under: Mustela putorius furo (domestic ferret)
Lineage: Eukaryota; Metazoa; Chordata; Mammalia; Carnivora; Mustelidae
Rfam family: tRNA
About the family: Transfer RNA (tRNA) molecules are approximately 80 nucleotides in length. Their secondary structure includes four short double-helical elements and three loops (D, anti-codon, and T loops).
Source: Rfam by way of RNAcentral
GCCUGGCUGGCUCAGUCAGUCGAGCAUGUGACUCUUGAUCUCGGGGUUGUGAGUUCAAGCCCCAUGUUUGGUG